GGGGGCCCGCACAAGCGGCGGAGCAUGCGGAUUAAUUCGAUGCAACGCGAAGAACCUUACCAAGGCUUGACAUGAACCGGAAUGAUGCAGAGAUGUGUCAGCCACUUGUGGCCGGUUUACAGGUGGUGCAUGGUUGUCGUCAGCUCGUGUCGUGAGAUGUUGGGUUAAGUCCCGCAACGAGCGCAACCCUCGUUCCAUGUUGCCAGCGGGUUAUGCCGGGGACUCAUGGGAGACUGCCGGGGUCAACUCGGAGGAAGGUGGGGACGACGUCAAAUCAUCAUGCCCCUUAUGUCUUGGGCUUCACGCAUGCUACAAUGGCCGGUACAAAGGGUUGCGAUACUGUGAGGUGGAGCUAAUCCCAAAAAGCCGGUCUCAGUUCGGAUUGAGGUCUGCAACUCGACCUCAUGAAGUUGGAGUCGCUAGUAAUCGCAGAUCAGC
RNAcentral lists this ribosomal RNA (438 nucleotides) under Arthrobacter sp. RNAcentral describes it as "bacterial SSU rRNA". It matches the Rfam family "Bacterial small subunit ribosomal RNA", at positions 915 to 1353 of the family's 1533-position model. Lineage: Bacteria; Bacillati; Actinomycetota; Actinomycetes; Micrococcales; Micrococcaceae. The record is from RNAcentral.